CCUCGGGAGGCUGCAGUGGGGAAUAUUGGACAAUGGGCGAAAGCCUGAUCCAGCCAUGCCGCGUGUGUGAAGAAGGCCUUCGGGUUGUAAAGCACUUUCAGUGGGGAAGAAAGCCUUGGGGCUAAUACCCUCGAGGAAGGACAUCACCCACAGAAGAAGCACCGGCUAACUCCGUGCCAGCAGCCGCGGUAAUACGGAGGGUGCGAGCGUUAAUCGGAAUUACUGGGCGUAAAGCGCGCGUAGGCGGUCUGAUAAGCCGGUUGUGAAAGCCCCGGGCUCAACCUGGGAACGGCAUCCGGAACUGUCAGGCUAGAGUGCAGGAGAGGAAGGUAGAAUUCCCGGUGUAGCGGUGAAAUGCGUAGAGAUCGGGAGGAAUACCAGUGGCGAAGGCGGCCUUCUGGACUGACACUGACGCUGAGGUGCGAAAGCGUGGGUAGCAAACAGGAUUAGAUACCCGGGUAGUC
RNAcentral lists this ribosomal RNA (464 nucleotides) under Vreelandella stevensii. RNAcentral describes it as "partial 16S ribosomal RNA". It matches the Rfam family "Bacterial small subunit ribosomal RNA", at positions 339 to 795 of the family's 1533-position model. The record is from RNAcentral. Lineage: Bacteria; Pseudomonadati; Pseudomonadota; Gammaproteobacteria; Oceanospirillales; Halomonadaceae.